AUAUUUACCCAGCAGGGGAGAUACUAUGAUGACAAGGGUGGAUUUCCCUGGGUGAGGCUUAUCUAUUGUACCCUGGGUGUGCUGACCCCUGCAGUUUUCCCAAAUGUGAGAAACUUGACUGCAUAAUUUGUGGUAGGAGGGUGAUUGCGUUUGCUGCAGCUGCACCUGG
This is a small nuclear RNA of Sapajus apella (tufted capuchin), 169 nucleotides long. RefSeq annotates it as U1 spliceosomal RNA. The transcript has a single exon. Lineage: Eukaryota; Metazoa; Chordata; Mammalia; Primates; Cebidae. The record is from RefSeq and is a predicted model, not a curated record.